GACGGAGGAUGCAAGCGUUAUCCGGAAUGAUUGGGCGUAAAGCGUCCGCAGGUGGCAGUUCAAGUCUGCUGUCAAAGACCGGGGCUUAACUUCGGAAAGGCAGUGGAAACUGAACAGCUAGAGUAUGGUAGGGGCAGAGGGAAUUCCUGGUGUAGCGGUGAAAUGCGUAGAGAUCCGGAAGAACACCGGAGGCGAAGGCGGCUUGCUGGACCUGGUCUGACGCUGAGGCGCGAAAGCGUGGGGAGCGAACAGG
This 253-nucleotide ribosomal RNA is filed under the name uncultured bacterium. RNAcentral describes it as "partial 16S ribosomal RNA". It matches the Rfam family "Bacterial small subunit ribosomal RNA", at positions 524 to 776 of the family's 1533-position model. The record is from RNAcentral.